Molecule: ribosomal RNA, 200 nt
Filed under: uncultured bacterium
Lineage: Bacteria
Description: partial 16S ribosomal RNA
Rfam family: Bacterial small subunit ribosomal RNA
Source: RNAcentral
AGAGUUUGAUCCUGGCUCAGGAUAAACGCUGGCGGCGUGCCUAACACAUGCAAGUCGAACGCCCUGCUCGCAAGGGUAGGGAGUGGCGGACGGGUGAGGAACACGUGGGUUAUCUACCUUUCGGUGAGGAAUACCGGCGAGAAAUCGCCGACAAAACCGCAUAGCCUCGGCAACGAGGAAAGUCGCAAGACGCCGAGAGA